AUGCAGUCAGUGCCAGUGCAAACUCCAGAACUGCAGAUGCAGAUGAAGGGCAUGUCUGCCAACAUGUUGUGUCGACUAGGGUACAAAAACAAAAUGUACCUGCACUGGUACAGGCAGCUUCCUGGAGAGCCACCAAAGAGGAUACUGUACCAGUCUGGAGGGACACCUGUGUUUGAGGACAGCAACGAUAGAAACAGGUUUCAAGUUCAGAAAGAUCCUACUCAGCCUGUAUAUGGUCUCAUGAUAAAUUCUUUAACCCUGAAGGAUUCUGGCAUUUAUUACUGUGCAUACUGGUUUUACCAAGUCACCACACCAUUAGUCAGGCAAAGAUAA
Molecule: non-coding RNA, 333 nt
Organism: Prinia subflava (tawny-flanked prinia)
Lineage: Eukaryota; Metazoa; Chordata; Aves; Passeriformes; Cisticolidae
Source: the annotation of a RefSeq genome assembly